UGCAUUGAAGCUAUGGCGCCACUACUUAUACGGCGAGCGAUGCGAAGUAUAUACGGAUCACAAAAGCUUAAAGUAUCUAUUCACUCAGAAGGAGUUGAACUUGAGGCAGCGCAGAUGGUUGGAGCUACUCAAGGAUUAUGAUUUGACGAUACUUUACCACCCGGGCAAGGCUAACGUGGUGGCGGAUGCGCUAAGUAGGAAAUCGACGGAAAACUUAGCGAUGCUUGUGGUUACUCAACCGCCGUUGAUCGAGCAGAUGAAGCGGUUGGAGUUGGAGGUGGUGGCUCCUGAUACACCUUUGAGACUGAUGACUUUGGUGGUGCAACCUACACUUUUGGAAAGGAUUAAAGAAAAGCAAGCUUCCGACUCGGAGUUGCAAAAGAUUCGAGCUAAGAUGGUUGAUGGUUGCACCGGUGACUUCACUUUAGACGGUGAUGGAUUGAUGCGUUUCCGCGGACGACUUUGUGUACCGGCGGACUUGGGCAUUAAAGAGGAUAUUCUUCAAGAAGCACACCGAGCACCGUAUGCUAUACAUCCGGGAGGCACCAAGAUGUACAAGAAUUUGAAAUUACUUUAUUGGUGGCCCGGGAUGAAAAAGAAUGUUGGUGAAUAUGUUGCAAGAUGCUUAACUUGCUAGCAGGUGAAGGCCGAGCACCGAGUUCCUGCAGGAAAGUUGCAGAGCCUAUCGAUUUCAGUGUGGAAAUGGGAGAAGAUCACUAUGGAUUUCGUGAUGGGAUUGCGGCGCUCACAGGCCGGGCAUGAUGCAAUUUGGGCGAUCGUGGAUUGAUUGACGAAAUCAGCACAUUUCAUACCUAUCCACACUACUUGGACUGGUGAGAGAUUCGCACAGGUUUAUUUGGAUGAGAUUGUGCGACUGCACGGGGUACCUACUUCAAUAGUAUCGGAUCGAGACCCCCUUUUUUUGUCUCACUUUUGGAGGAGCUUACAGGACGCUUUGGGUAGGCGCUUGGAUUUCAGCACUGCUUUCCACCACUAGAGUGACGGGCAGUCGGAGCGUACUAUACAGACUCUCGAGGACAUGCUUCGAGCUUGCGUGAUUGACUUCCAGGGAGGAUGGUCGCAGCAUCUACCAAUGGCAGAGUUUGCUUAUAACAACAGUUAUCAAGCAAGUAUUAAGAUGGCACCAUUUGAGGCAUUUUAUGGUCGGAAGUGUAGAUCGCCUUUUCAUUAAAGCGAAGUUGGCGAAAGAUUGGCUUUAGGCCCUGAUGUGCUUCAGGAAGUAGAGGAUAAGGUUCGCAUUGCUCGGGAGCGAUUGUUGACGGCCCAGAGUAGGCAAAGGAGUUAUGCUGAUCGGCGUCGACGAGACUUGGAGUUUCAGAUUAGAGAUCACGUUUUCUUGAAAGUCUCGCCGACCCGAGGGAUUAGAAGAUUUAGAAUCAGGGGUAAGUUGAGCCCUCGAUACAAUGGACCGUAUGAGGUUUUGGAGCGUGUAGGCCCGGUAGCAUAUAGACUUGCCCUACCGACGAACCUAUCGGGUGUACAUAAUAUAUUCCUUGUAUCGGUCCUUCGGAAGUACAUCCACGAUCCGGCUCAUGUUUUGGACGCUACGCCUUUGGAGCUGAGGGAGGACUUGAGCUUUGAGGAGCAGCCUUUAAGGAUUUUGGCUCGCGAAGUAAAAAGAUUGCGGAAUCGUGAGAUUCUCUACGUGAAGGUGUUUUGGAGCAACCACGACGAGCGCGAGGCCACUUAGGAGUUGGAGAGCGUGCUGCGAGAACGCUAUCCCCAUCUUUUUCAGAUGGAGGCUUGAGGUAUCUUUACUUUUCGAGUUUCGCGGACGAAACUCCUUUUUAGGAGGGGUGAAUGUAAAACACUGGACCUUUGCAAAUUGCGAGGUUCGAGUGGUUGGUUGUGUGCUGAGUAAUUCCAGACUUUCUGGUGGGUCGUUGACAGUGUUCCGACCUGUGGCUCGCAUCCCGAGAAGUGAGGUUUAAAGACUAGCACAAAAAUCCGAAAAAUCGGAUUGUUGGUCAGCUCUCGGGUAGCCUUCAGUAGGGCUUGUACCGGUACAAGGCUGAUGGUUGUACCGGUACAAGGCUGGUGGUUGUUCCGGUAUAGGGGGCUUGUACCGGUACAGAGCCGCAGAACCCGCCAACCCGAGCCUCGGGUUGUGAUUGUCGUGGGGCUUGUACCGGUACAGGGGCCCGUGUACCUGUACAAGGUGGCAGAAUUUGAGUAGUUUGAACUGCAGGGGUGUUUUUGUGAUUGUGGGUCCCUUAUAUCAGCACCCACGCCUCUAGGGCCCCCCUUUGAGCUCUCCACUGCAGGGAGAAAGGUAGGGCACCUCUCCCCUUCACCCCAUUUGGAUUUGAUCUCUUUCUAGCUUGGGAUUUAAGUGUUGAUCCUUCUCUUUUCCCUUUUCUUUGCUUUUCCACCAUUUUGAUGCUUGGAGCUUGGUCUUGAUGGAUUGUUGAGGGAAGAUCUUGGGAUUUCAAGAGUUUAGAGCUUUGAUUGAAGCUUUUAAGAGGUAAUCCACUUAUUCUCUCCCUCUAGAUUGGAUUUUAUUGAUGGUUUUGAGAUGAAACCCUAGAAUGAGAUUUUAGGGCUUAUUUUGGGCGUUUUGAUUCUAGGGCUUUUGGGGCUAAAUUAUUUGGAUUAGAGCACUCCUUUGGGUCGGGUUGGAAUGAUCUUAGCCUUCUUUUGGAGCUUGUGAGAGUUUUUCUCCACCCUAGGUGAGAUUUUAGCCCUUUUGCCUUAUUGGUUAAUGUUUGAUCUUAUAGAUGAUCGUAAUGCCCGUGUAUCUCUUCGCUCAAUACUUUUAGGGUGAUUUGAGACUCGUGGACAACUUCGUUCGGCGAGACGAGGCACUACACGACGGUUCGGUGGGUUUGACCUAGCCACACAAUGAGAAAUUCUCAUUUGUGAUGAAUUAAGUAUCGUUAAUUGAAAAAGCAUGCAUAUUCUUGUUAUAUGCAUUUAUUGUGAAUUUUAGAAUGCUUAAAAUGCCUAUGUUACAUAUGAUGAAAUUUUUAGUGUGGAUUUGAGUUUGUGUAUGGAUCUCGUCCCGGGACACCCGAUCUCAAAAGACCCUAUAGGAUGGCACCAGCAGAAUUGAAGGAGCUGAAGGCACAGUUGCAGGAUCUUCUCGAUAAAGGUUUUGUGCGCGAGUGUUGUCACCAUGGGGAGCACCAGUUUUGUUUGUAAAGAAGAAUGAUGGAUCACUUCGCUUAUGUGUGGACUAUCGUGAACUUAAUAAAGUCACGAUCAAGAACAAGUAUCCAUUGCGAGAAUCGACGAUCUAUUUGAUCAGCUACAGGAUCUUGUAAUAUAUUCCAAGAUUGACUUGCAGUCGGGAUAUCACCAGUUGAGGAUCAGACCUGAGAUGUGUCGAAGACGGCUUUAGAACAUGUAUGGACACUAUGAGUUUACUGUUAUGCCGUUUGGCUCACUAAUGCCGCUUAGAGAGGUGGCGUUUUGGGCCAUUUGAUUUCUGGAUCAGGAAUAGCCGUGGCCCGAGAAAAAUGAAGCUAUCAGGAUUGGCCGAGGCGACGAGUGACCGAGAUACGGAGCUUCAUUGGUUUGCCGGCUAUUACCGACGGUUCGUCGAGAGAUUUGCAAAGUUAUCUACUCCUCACGAGACUGACGCAUAAGGGCACCAAGUUUAUUUUGGAAUUGAUGCGUGUUGAAAGAGCUUCCAAGAGUGAAGCAGCGAUUGUCGACCGCCCCGAUCCUAACCUUUCGACUGCUGGAGCAGGUAUGUGAUUUAUAGUGAUGCUUCCUUUAAUGGAUUGGGCUGUCUUAUGCAGACCGGAAAGUGAUCGCGUAUGCAUCUCGCCAAUUGAAGGAUUAUGAAAGGAAUUACCCUACUCACGACUUGGAGUUGGCGGCCGUGGUCUUUGCAUUGAAGCAUAUGGCGCCACUACUUAUAUGGCGAGCGAGCGAAGUAUAUCGGAUCACAAAAGCUUAAAGUAUCUAUUCAUUCAGAAGGGGUUGAACUUGUGGCAGCGCAGAUGGUUGGAGCCUACUCAAGGAUUAUAUUGACUGAUACUACCACCCGGGCAAGGCUAACGUGAUGGCUGAUGCGCUAAGUAGCGAAAUUGACGAAAAACUUAGCGAUGCUGUGUAUACUCAACCGCCGUUGAUCAAGCAGAUGAAACGGUUGGAGUUGGAGGUGGUGGCCCUGAUACACCUUUGAGACUGAUGACUUUGGGUGCAACCUACACUUUUGGAAAAGAUUAAAGAAAAACAACUUCCGACUCGGAGUUGCAAAAGAUUCGAGCUAAGAAUGGUUGAUGGUUGCACCGCGUGUACUUCACUUAGACUGUGUAUGGAUUGAUGCGUUUCCGCGACGACUUUGGUGUCCGGCGCGACGUUCGGGCAUUNNNNNNNNNNNNNNNNNNNNNNNNNUUGUUUGAUACCGGUGCAUCGCAUUCAUUCAUUGAUCGGCUGUUUGCCGAGCUGCAUGGCAUCCCACUUGUAUCCUUGUUGCACCCGGGACGAGUUGUUGUACCCGAUCAUUCCUUGGACAUUCGGGAGUUUUGCCCCAGCUGCCCUAUUCGGGUUGGAGAUUGGAUCAUGCCCAUAGACAUGCUAGCCUUGCAUAAACUCGGGGAGUUUGAGGUUGUGUUGGGCAUGGAUUGGUUGACUAAGUAUUUCGCCACUAUCGAUUGUAAAGAUCGAACGGUGACUUUUAGAGAGCCAGGGCAGGCGGAGGUUGUGUACCGAGGAUGCCAGAGUUCGCUGUUUGCGAUGACGAUUAGCUCCUCUCGAGCUAGGCAGUUGAUUAGUAGAGGCUGCGUAGCCUAUUUGGCUAGUGUCGUGUUGCGGGGCGAUGCGGACGCCCCUAGGAUUGAGGAUAUCCCCGUAGUGCGGGAGUUUGGAGAUGUGUUUCCAGCGGAGCUUCCAGGCAUGCCUCCUGACAGGGAGAUUGAGUUUGUGGUAGAUCUCGUUCCCGCGACUAUCCCGAUCUCAAAGGCACCCUAUAGGAUGGCACCAAUAGAAUUGAAGGAGCUGAAGGCACAAUUGCAGGAUCUUCUGGAUAAGGGUUUUGUGCGACCGAGUGUGUCACCUUGGGGAGCACCAGUUUUGUUUGUAAAGAAGAAGGAUGGAUCACUUCGCUUAUGUGUGCACUAUCGUGAACUUAAUAAAGUCACGAUCAAGAACAAGUAUCCAUUGCCAAGGAUUGACGAUCUAUUUGAUCAGCUCCAGGAAUCUUCUGUAUAUUCCAAGAUUGACUUGCAGUUGGGAUAUCACCAGUUGAGGAUCAAACCUGAGGAUGUGUCGAAGACGGCUUUUAGAACACGGUAUGGACACUAUGAGUUUACUGUUAUGCCGUUUGGGCUCACUAAUGCCCCGGCAGCUUUUAUGGAUCUAAUGAACCGUGUUUUCAAGCCUUAUUUAGACAGUUUGUCGUGGUGUUCAUCGACGAUAUUUUGGUCUAUUCCUGAAGUGAUGCGGAUCACGAGGAACACUUGAGACUUGUACUUCAAGUGCUUCGAGAAAAGAAACUCUAUGCUAAGUUGAAAAAGUGUGAAUUUUGGCUUAGAGAGGUGGCGUUUUUGGGCCAUUUGAUUUCUGGAUCAGGCAUAGCCGUGGACCCGAGAAAAAUUGAAGCUAUCAAGGAUUGGCCGAGGCCGACGAGUGUGACCGAGAUACGGAGCUUCAUUUGUUUGGCCGGCUAUUACCCGACGGUUCGUCGAGGGAUUUGCAAAGUUAUCUACUCCCCUCACGAGACUGACGCAUAAGGGCACCAAGUUUAUUUGGAAUGAUGCGUGUGAAAAAAGCUUCCAAGAGUUGAAGCAGCGAUUGACGACCGCCCCGAUCCUAACCUUGCCGACUGCUGGAGAAGGGUAUGUAAUUUAUAGUGAUGCUUCCUUUAAUGGAUUUGGUUGUGUCUUAAUGCAGGACGGGAAAGUGAUCGCGUAUGCAUCUCGCCAAUUGAAGGAUUAUGAAAGGAAUUACCCUACUCACGACUUGGAGUUGGCGACCAUGGUCUUUGCAUUGAAGCUAUGGCGCCACUACUUAUACGGCGAGCGAUGCGAAGUAUAUACGGAUCACAAAAGCUUAAAGUAUCUAUUCAUUCAGAAGGAGUUGAACUUGAGGCAGCGCAGAUGGUUGGAGCGACUCAAGGAUUAUGAUUUGACGAUACUUUACCUCCCGGGCAAGGCUAACGUGGUGGCUGAUGCGCUAAGUAGGAAAUCGACGGAAAACUUAGCGAUGCUUGUGGUUACUCAACCGCCGUUGAUCGAGCAGAUGAAGUGGUUGGAGUUGGAGGUGGUGGCUCCUGAUACACCUUUGAGACUGAUGACUUUGGUGGUGCAACUUACACUUUUGGAAAAGAUUAAAGAAAAGCAAGCUUCCGACUCGGAGUUGCAAAAGAUUCGAGCUAAGAUGGUUGAUGGUUGCACCGGUGACUUCACUUUAGACGGUGAUGGAUUGAUGCGUUUUCGCGGACGACUUUGUGUACCGGCGGACUUGGGCAUUAAAGAGGAUAUUCUUCAAGAAGCACACCGAGCACCGUAUGCUAUACAUCCGGGAGGCACCAAGAUGUACAAGAAUUUGAAAUUACUUUAUUGGUGGCCCGGGAUGAAAAAGAAUGUUGGUGAAUUUGUUGCCAGAUGCUUAACUUGCC
Molecule: long non-coding RNA, 6589 nt
Filed under: Ananas comosus (pineapple)
Lineage: Eukaryota; Viridiplantae; Streptophyta; Magnoliopsida; Poales; Bromeliaceae
Description: long non-coding RNA (ACOM_LNC016699)
Source: RNAcentral